Molecule: ribosomal RNA, 429 nt
Filed under: Chloroflexota bacterium
Lineage: Bacteria; Bacillati; Chloroflexota
Description: Chloroflexi bacterium partial 16S ribosomal RNA
Rfam family: Bacterial small subunit ribosomal RNA
Source: RNAcentral
UGGGGAAUAUUGCACAAUGGGCGCAAGCCUGAUGCAGCCAUGCCGCGUGUAUGAAGAAGGCCUUCGGGUUGUAAAGUACUUUCAGUCGGGAGGAAGGUGGUAAGGUUAAUAACCUUGGCAAUUGACGUUACCGACAGAAGAAGCACCGGCUAACUCCGUGCCAGCAGCCGCGGUAAUACGGAGGGUGCAAGCGUUAAUCGGAAUUACUGGGCGUAAAGCGCACGCAGGCGGUUGAUUGAGUCAGAUGUGAAAUCCCCGGGCUUAACCCGGGAAUUGCAUCUGAUACUGGUCAGCUAGAGUCUUGUAGAGGGGGGUAGAAUUCCAUGUGUAGCGGUGAAAUGCGUAGAGAUGUGGAGGAAUACCGGUGGCGAAGGCGGCCCCCUGGACAAAGAGUGACGCUCAGGUGCGAAAGCGUGGGGAGCAAACAGG